GGGCCCGUAGUCUAGCGGCUAGGAUGCCCAGGGACGGCAGCCUCACGCCGGCCCCGCCCGCCUAUGCCUGACGCGCGGGAGAUCCCGGGUUCGAAUCCCGGCGGGCCCA
RNAcentral lists this transfer RNA (109 nucleotides) under Thermoproteus sp. RNAcentral describes it as "tRNA-OTHER". It matches the Rfam family "tRNA". Rfam says of the family: Transfer RNA (tRNA) molecules are approximately 80 nucleotides in length. Their secondary structure includes four short double-helical elements and three loops (D, anti-codon, and T loops). The record is from RNAcentral. Lineage: Archaea; Thermoproteati; Thermoproteota; Thermoprotei; Thermoproteales; Thermoproteaceae.